UAGUAACGGCGAGUGAAGAGGGAAGAGCCCAAGAUUGAAAGCUGGCGUCUUCGGCGUCCGCAUUGUAAUCUCAAGAAGUGUUUUCCGUUUCGGACCGAGCCUAAGUCCCUUGGAAAAGGGCAUCGUAGAGGGUGAGAAUCCCGUACAUGGCUUGGAGCGCCCGAGGCUUUGUGAUACGCUUUCUAAGAGUCGAGUUGUUUGGGAAUGCAGCUCAAAAUGGGUGGUAAAUGCCAUCUAAGGCUAAAUAUUGGGGAGAGACCGAUAGCGAACAAGUACCGUGAGGGAAAGAUGAAAAGAACUUUGAAAAGAGAGUUAAACAGUACGUGAAAUUGCCAAAAGGGAAGGGUAGGAGGUCAGAGAUGCAUUCUGGGAUUCAGCCUUGCUUUUGCUUGGUGUUUUUCCCAGUUCGCAGGCCAACGCCGGUUUUGGGCACUGGAGAAUGGUUAGAGGAACGUGGCACCCCUCGGGGUGUGUUAUAGCCUCCUACUGGAUACAGCGACCGAGACCGAGGACAGCAGCGACACUCGCAAGAGCAGAU
RNAcentral lists this ribosomal RNA (538 nucleotides) under Trichocintractia utriculicola. RNAcentral describes it as "LSU rRNA". It matches the Rfam family "Eukaryotic large subunit ribosomal RNA", at positions 81 to 620 of the family's 3401-position model. The record is from RNAcentral. Lineage: Eukaryota; Fungi; Basidiomycota; Ustilaginomycetes; Ustilaginales; Ustilaginaceae.